CCUACGGGAGGCAGCAGUGAGGAAUAUUGGUCAAUGGGCGCGAGCCUGAACCAGCCAAGUAGCGUGAAGGAUGACUGCCCUACGGGUUGUAAACUUCUUUUAUAAAGGAAUAAAGUGAGGCACGUGUGCCUUUUUGUAUGUACUUUAUGAAUAAGGAUCGGCUAACUCCGUGCCAGCAGCCGCGGUAAUACGGAGGGUGCAAGCGUUACUCGGAAUCAUUGGGAGUAAAGGGCGCGUAGGUGGGAUAGUAAGUCAGAUGUGAAAGCCUACGGCUUAACCAUAGAACUGCAUUUGAUACUGGUAGUCUAGAGUAUAGGUGAGGUAGGUGGAAUUCGUGGUGUAGCGGUAAAAUGCGUAGAGAUCAAGAAGAAUACCCAUUGCGAAGGCAACCUGCUAGAACAUCACUGACACUGAUGCGCGAAAGCGUGGGGAGCAAACAGGAUUAGAUACCCCAGUAGUC
Molecule: ribosomal RNA, 460 nt
Filed under: uncultured bacterium
Lineage: Bacteria
Description: partial 16S ribosomal RNA
Rfam family: Bacterial small subunit ribosomal RNA
Source: RNAcentral